CCCGAUGGAGGGGGAUAACUACUGGAAACGGUAGCUAAUACCGCAUAACGUCGCAAGACCAAAGAGGGGGACCUUCGGGCCUCUUGCCAUCAGAUGUGCCCAGAUGGGAUUAGCUAGUAGGUGGGGUAACGGCUCACCUAGGCGACGAUCCCUAGCUGGUCUGAGAGGAUGACCAGCCACACUGGAACUGAGACACGGUCCAGACUCCUACGGGAGGCAGCAGUGGGGAAUAUUGCACAAUGGGCGCAAGCCUGAUGCAGCCAUGCCGCGUGUAUGAAGAAGGCCUUCGGGUUGUAAAGUACUUUCAGCGGGGAGGAAGGCGAUAAGGUUAAUAACCUUGUCGAUUGACGUUACCCGCAGAAGAAGCACCGGCUAACUCCGUGCCAGCAGCCGCGGUAAU
RNAcentral lists this ribosomal RNA (400 nucleotides) under uncultured bacterium. Its description in RNAcentral is "bacterial SSU rRNA". It matches the Rfam family "Bacterial small subunit ribosomal RNA", at positions 129 to 524 of the family's 1533-position model. The record is from RNAcentral.